GGAGAUCAUCCUUAAAUCUGAAAGGAGAAGCGGAAAAAUUGAUGUUUAAAGCCUGUCUCAGAAAGCAAUCAUCUGGGUCAGACACGUUAAUGACUUGAUAGACAUAAUCAAUUUCUUGGACAUAUAAUUUCACUAAAUUUGGCAGCUCGAGUAAUGUAUCGUUCCUCUCUGUGCAAGACAAAUCGAACCCAUGAUAGCCACAGUAAUUAGGUUGCUGACCUUUAAGCCGGAAAGGGAAUCGGAUGGCCGGGCCAGACCCACACCUUGAUUCUG
This 273-nucleotide unclassified non-coding RNA is filed under the name Hevea brasiliensis (rubber tree). The record is from RNAcentral. Lineage: Eukaryota; Viridiplantae; Streptophyta; Magnoliopsida; Malpighiales; Euphorbiaceae.